CAAAAGUGGGCAAGGAUGACCAAGCCACGCGCAGCGGGCAGAACCCGGGAUCCGGCGGAGGCUGGUUUCCCGGCAGGGGAGGUGAGGGAACGUGGUUGGAAAAAGAAAAGGGGAAGAGUAGGACAUGCUAGGUCCCUGGCCUCUCCCACAGGCGACCCCGCAGCGGUAGGUCAGCUCCACACUUAACCCUCCCCCACCCCAACAGGACCAACCUGUUUGGGGAGUGGGGACAGGGCAACGAAUGGACAUAUUAUUUUCGCCAGCGGGUGAGGCAGUCAUGACGGGACUGUGCAGCGGUCUCUAGAGACCCGGGGCGGAGUAGGAAACAGGCUCCUUUCCAUUCCUGACAUGCCUGGGAGCUAGCUCCGCAGGUGCAGGGAGCGUCACCACCUGGGAGCUGCAGGCAAACACCCCGAGGCGCGGCGGGGAGCAGCGUGGGGGAGGCGUCCUCCACCUUCCUACCCCUCCCCAGUCCUAGCGGGGUGGGGAGGAGGGUCACUGCUAAGGUGGCGCCUCGGGACGGACCGGACGCAGAGCGGGAGCGCCGCGCGGCCUGGCAGAGCUCGGAGGAGGCUAGGUAACCAACCCGGAGGGGCUCGACCCCCGGGGAGCUGGCGCGGCUGCUCAUCCACGCCCAAGUGCCUCCUGGCCGAAGCCCGUUUCCCACCCCUCAGACUUGUGAAAACAGCAGCUCAGGGCCGAGACUGACCGAGAGGUCAGUUUCUGGCCCGUCCGAAGACCCCACCAUCAGCUCGGGCUAGGCUGAGCCCUUUCCUCUGGACUGUUGCAGAAAGGCUUCCGGAGAAGCAAUGGCCGGUGGGAGCCCUGAAGGACAUGCCGGCAGCACAGCCUUCCGCUUCCUAAGAUUCUAUUUCCCUGGAGCUACUUUACAACUCUGUAUACUGGGAUGUCUCGGGGCCUCCUCCUUCCUGCCAUUCCUGCUUCUCCUCCUGCUUGUUCACCCAUAGCCCAGCUCGGGCCCAGUAAGCAGGAAGCCUGGGAGCCAGAGCCCACCUUGGCCCUUGUACAGAGCACAGAGCUCGGCCUGUUGUCCCAGGAACUCAGAGAAUGAAGGUCUGGAAACGUAUUACUGGGGCUCUGAUUUUGCUAACUAGAGGAAACACUUGAAGAUCACUCUUCUGUUUUUACCUCCUCCAGCCUGGUAGGUAGGAGGACAGCAGGAGAGGUCAGGGGCAGGCACAGCAGUGGGCCCAUGUGUGUGGAGGGGGGUGGGGUGGCCCUGUCCCCGGAGCUCACGAGGGGGAGGCGCGGUGCUCCUGGCAUCAAGCACAGGGCAUUGUGUAGGGCACGGCCUGGUACGGGACUUGUCAGCAAGGCCCAGCCCGUGAACACAGCAAACAGCCACCACCACAUCCCCGGCCUGCCUCAGCCCAGGUCCAGCUGCAUAGCCCAGCACCAUGUGGCCGCCUAGCUCGAAGCUGCCAGGGUCGAGUGCCCUGUGCCCCCCCUCUCCCACCCACUCAGGUCUGCUCCCUCCACAUCCAGCAGUCCCGCUACUGUCACUCAAGACUCCAAAUUCUGGCAGGAUCCACCUGCCACCCUUUCCCAGCCCUGUUCCUGCCCGUGCCCGCCCGUGGACGUCCCACAUUCUUUCUUAAGCAAAGUGGCCUGCUCAGCAGGAAAAGUACAACUGUUUCUACUCUCCGCUGCCCUUCCUGCUCUGCCACCACUGACACCUGGCUCCUGUCACCUCCGAUCCUUCCCCAUGCCGCUCUUUAUGUCCUCUCGACUGGCCCCUACCAAACCACCUUCUGUUUCACUUAUUAAAUUCCCUUCUAACCUCACAUCUUCCAAGAAGUCUGUUGGGUUUGCACAGGUUGCUUCUGGGAACGCUGUCAUCAGUAGUCUUGGGGAACCGCUCACGUGGGCACAGCCUUUAUUUACUCUUUGAAAAUACUGUAACAUUUGUCUCCAGAACGCCAUGUGGGGAGAGGUAGCAUCAGCCCCUUGCUUGGCAUUAGUGACUUACUCAGUUCUACCAACUGACAGAUGACCCCCAAGUCCAGUUCAGCAGGUCCCGCAGACCCCAGUUAGCAGCUCACCCUGAGUGCGUGUUUGUGUGCAAGGAGUUAUGAUCUAAGCACCUUCGUGGUGUUGUCAGUGUGCUUGGAGCCAAGGGUUUAUUUUGUCUCCAUGUGGUUGGGAACCUCCAGAGAUCAGGGACUGAACUGUCCUUUCUCUGACAGUCCCUCAGAAUCCAGGAUAGGGUUGUGCCAGCCAGAGGAACUGCGAACGGUGGCAGGGGCAGGCCCCACUCACACCGUGGGUCUUUGCCACGUUCAAGUGCAUGCAGACCCACUGACAGGGAGGUGACAGAAAGGUAACGGAAUCUCUGACAGCAGCUGCCAUGUGCUGGGCAUCGUGCUAGUUCUUUAUUUGUAUCAUUUAAUUCUCACAACAAAUCUCCAAGGGGGGUAUUUUUAUUGGCACUUGAGGAAACUAACAUUCAGAGCCGUGGAGCCGGUGCAGCCCACAUCUGUCUGACUCCAAAAGGAGCACAUAAAUAGCAGAAUUCAAUUUACAUGUAAAACAUAAUAAUCCCUUACUCCCUGAAGACGUGUCCUACCCUUGGCUCUUCCUUUCCCAGGAAAUAAAAGCCAGGAAGAGGAAAGCAGGGUUGGGUGUACCUUGUGCAUAAACACACACACGUUUUCUCUCACACAAACACACACAGAUCACUCAGGCCAUCACCUUCACCCUGGAUUUCCUGGCUGGGGUGAGGGCGAAGAGAGGUAGGGGCAGUUUCCCCAGGACCCAGCCCUCACCCCGUUCCCUGGUGCUAAAUAAAAGUGAAUAAAUACUAAAUAAAUACAAGUGGGGCCCACCCUGCCUUCCCCCUCCCUCCUCUGACCGGCAGGGCAGAGGGAGCAGUGUCGGUGGAGGACUGUCACCCAGUCCGCUC
This is a long non-coding RNA of Rhinolophus ferrumequinum (greater horseshoe bat), 2923 nucleotides long. RefSeq lists it as uncharacterized. NCBI's taxonomy places the organism in Eukaryota, Metazoa, Chordata, Mammalia, Chiroptera, Rhinolophidae. The transcript has 5 exons. The record is from RefSeq and is a predicted model, not a curated record.